CAGUCGUAAACUAUGCUCGCUAGGUGUCAGGCAUGGCGCGACCGUGUCUGGUGCCGCAGGGAAGCCGUGAAGCGAGCCACCUGGGAAGUACGGCCGCAAGGCUGAAACUUAAAGGAAUUGGCGGGGGGAGGCACCACAACGGGUGGAGCCUGCGGUUUAAUUGGACUCAACGCCGGGAAGCUCACCGGAUAAGACAGCGGAAUGAUUGCCGGGCUGAAGACUCUGCAUGACUAGCUGAGAGGUGGUGCAUGGCGUAGACGUCU
This 263-nucleotide ribosomal RNA is filed under the name uncultured archaeon. RNAcentral describes it as "partial 16S ribosomal RNA". It matches the Rfam family "Archaeal small subunit ribosomal RNA", at positions 748 to 1009 of the family's 1478-position model. The record is from RNAcentral.